ACAGAGGGGGCAAGCGUUAUUCGGAAUUAUUGGGCGUAAAGGGCGCGUAGGUGGUUCGGUAAGUUGCUGGUGAAAUCCCGGGGCUCAACUCCGGGGCUGCCGGCACGACUGCCGGACUCGAGCACGGUAGGGGCAGAUGGAAUUCCCGGUGUAGCGGUGGAAUGCGUAGAUAUUGGGAAGAACACCUGAGGCGAAGGCGGGUUGCUGGGCCGACACUGACGCUGAGGCGCGAAAGCCAGGGGAGCAAACGGGA
RNAcentral lists this ribosomal RNA (253 nucleotides) under uncultured prokaryote. RNAcentral describes it as "partial 16S ribosomal RNA". It matches the Rfam family "Bacterial small subunit ribosomal RNA", at positions 525 to 777 of the family's 1533-position model. The record is from RNAcentral.